This 77-nucleotide transfer RNA is filed under the name candidate division SR1 bacterium. Its description in RNAcentral is "tRNA-Cys". It matches the Rfam family "tRNA". Rfam says of the family: Transfer RNA (tRNA) molecules are approximately 80 nucleotides in length. Their secondary structure includes four short double-helical elements and three loops (D, anti-codon, and T loops). Lineage: Bacteria; Candidatus Absconditibacteriota. The record is from RNAcentral.
GGCACCUUGACAGAGUGGUCUAUUGUACGGGUCUGCAAAACCUUGGUUCAUCGGUUCGAAUCCGAUAGGUGCCUCCA